This is a long non-coding RNA of Macaca mulatta (Rhesus monkey), 618 nucleotides long. RefSeq lists it as uncharacterized. The record is from RefSeq and is a predicted model, not a curated record. Lineage: Eukaryota; Metazoa; Chordata; Mammalia; Primates; Cercopithecidae.
CUUCCUCCCUCACAUCUUCAACAGGCUUCCGGGGCGUGGGGAAAUGCCAGUGUGUGCAAGUUUCUAUGGCAGUGUCCUGACCUGAAUGUCGCUAAAAGAAUUGCUAAGUGGUCUCUCGUAGGAGUGGAGCUGAUUUCCCCAGAGCUGCCCCUCUCAGUGUGGUCCACUGUGAAAACACAGUGAGAGCUAAUUGUUUUCUGACAGAUUUAUAAUUCCACUAAAUCAAUGCCACCAUUUAGACCAGAUGGAAAGCUGUGGACCAGACUGGCGAAAAGAAAUACGGGCUUCCACUUUUCCUUUUCCCUUCUUUUAGAGGACAAGUAGCCAUGGAGGGAGUCACAGAGAUUGGAUCUCACUCAGUUGCCCAGGCUGGAGUAUAGUGAUGUGAUAACAGCUCACUGAAGCAGCCUCGACCACCCGCCCAGACUCAAGUGAUCAUCCCACCUUGGUUUCUUGACUAGCUGGAGCACCACUGCCCUGGCUACUUUUUUGUAUUUUUGUGUUUUUUGUAUGGACAGGGUUUCACCAUGUUGUCCAAGCUGAUCUUGAACUUCUGUGCUCGUGUGAGCUGCCUGCUUCGGCCUACCAAAAUGCUGAGAUUACAGGUAUGAGCUACUA